GUUUACGGUCAUACUACCCUGAAUGUGCCUGAGCUUGUCUGAUACGAAGCUAAGCAGGGUUGGGCCUGGUUAGUGCUUGGAUGGCAGAAGCAAAAGAGAUAAGAAACAUGAGGAUGCUGCUGAGG
This 125-nucleotide ribosomal RNA is filed under the name Prolemur simus (greater bamboo lemur). The record is from RNAcentral. Lineage: Eukaryota; Metazoa; Chordata; Mammalia; Primates; Lemuridae.